UGGGGAAUUUUCCGCAAUGGGCGAAAGCCUGACGGAGUGACGCCGCGUGGGGGACGAAGGCCUUCGGGUCGUAAACCCCUGUCAGAGGGAAAGAAGGGCGUUGGCGUGAAUAGCGCCGACGUCUGACGGUACCUUCAGAGGAAGCCCCGGCCAACUCUGUGCCAGCAGCCGCGGUAAUACGGAGGGGGCUAGCGUUGUUCGGAAUUACUGGGCGUAAAGCGCACGUAGGCGGCUUUGUAAGUUAGAGGUGAAAGCCCGGAGCUCAACUCCGGAAUUGCCUUUAAGACUGCAUCGCUCGAAUCAUGGAGAGGUGAGUGGAAUUCCGAGUGUAGAGGUGAAAUUCGUAGAUAUUCGGAAGAACACCAGUGGCGAAGGCGGCUCACUGGACGAUUGUUGACGCUGAGGUGCGAAAGCGUGGGGAGCAAA
This 426-nucleotide ribosomal RNA is filed under the name uncultured bacterium. RNAcentral's name for it is "bacterial SSU rRNA". It matches the Rfam family "Bacterial small subunit ribosomal RNA", at positions 355 to 772 of the family's 1533-position model. The record is from RNAcentral.